This 190-nucleotide signal recognition particle RNA is filed under the name Lachnospiraceae bacterium. RNAcentral describes it as "signal recognition particle sRNA large type". It matches the Rfam family "Bacterial large signal recognition particle RNA". From Rfam's summary of the family: The signal recognition particle (SRP) is a universally conserved ribonucleoprotein involved in the co-translational targeting of proteins to membranes. Archaeal SRP consists of a 7S RNA and homologues of the eukaryotic SRP19 and SRP54 proteins. In most bacteria, the SRP consists of a 4.5S RNA and the Ffh protein (a homologue of the eukaryotic SRP54 protein). The record is from RNAcentral. Lineage: Bacteria; Bacillati; Bacillota; Clostridia; Lachnospirales; Lachnospiraceae.
UGCUGUACAGGACGGAGCCUUAACAGCCGCCUGCUGUUUUCGUGUGGAAGUUUGGGUCUUGCGCAAUGAUUCCCCGUGAACCGUGUCAGAUUGGGAACAAAGCAGCACUAAGCGGGCCCUAUCAUGUGCCGCAAGGGUGCCUGGCGGAGCCGGAAGCGCAGUAACGUGUUAAGGUUCCGUCGUGUACAGC